RNAcentral lists this ribosomal RNA (1029 nucleotides) under Triticum aestivum (bread wheat). RNAcentral's name for it is "partial small subunit ribosomal RNA". The record is from RNAcentral. Lineage: Eukaryota; Viridiplantae; Streptophyta; Magnoliopsida; Poales; Poaceae.
AUGUCUCAGGUACCGCAGAUUGGGUGGUUCUGCAGCUUGGUGGCGGCGACGCUCGCGGUCGGCGUCAUGGGUCAGCCACCUUCCCCUUCCAACUGGUUCUGGGAAACUCCACCUUCGUGGGACGGGACGCCUCCCCAGCCCGAGGUCCCGUCCUACGCCAACGGCCAGCUCUCUCCGGCCAACUACAACAAGCCCAACCGCAUCUUCAUCUGCGACGACGACUGGGGCAAGACCUGCGUGGCGCAGUGCCCGGACCUCUGCCCCAAGUCCUGCGAGAUGUCAUGCAGCUACUGCGAGACCUCCUGCAGGUGUGCGAACUACCCCGGCACCUCGUGCGGCGACCCUAGCUUCACCGGCGGCGACGGCGUCACCUUCUACUUCCACGGCAGGAAAGACCAGGACUUCUGCAUCGUCUCCGACGCCGACCUCCACAUCAACGCGCGCUUCAUCGGCAACCACAACCCUGUCAACGAGCGCACCUUCACGUGGAUACAGUCCCUCGGCGUGAGCUUCGGCGAUCACCGCCUCUUCGUCGGCGCUCGCAGGGCCAUCGAGUGGGACGAGGAAGAGGACCACAUCGAGAUCACCUUCGACGGUGAACCCAUCAACAUAGACACCUCCAACAAUGCACGGUGGGUCUCCAGGACCCUAGCUGGUCUAUCCGUGAAGCGCACGGACGCUGUCAACUCUGUCAAGGUGGAUCUCGCGGGCGUGUUCAGCAUCUCGGCCAGCGCGGUGCCCAUCACCGACGAGGACUCCAAGAUCCACAGCUAUGGCAAGACCAUGAAGGACAGCCUGGUGCACCUUGACCUCCGCUUCAAGUUUCAUUCCCUCACAGACGUCGUCGACGGUGUCCUUGGCCAGACCUACCGGCUGGACUAUGUCAACAAGAUGAAUGUCACUGCUAAGAUGCCCAUCAUGGGCGGCGCUCCAAAGUAUCUCUCCUCGGGGCUCUUCUCGACGGACUGUGCUGUCUCCAAGUUCCACCGUAGCGGUGGCGCCAACCAUGUUCGUGCCUUGGCAGCAUAA